AACGCACCUUGCGCUCCUUGGCAUUCCGAGGAGCAUGCCUGUUUGAGUGUCAUUAAUUUCUCAACCUCACCAGCUUUGUCAUGAAGAUGUGUGUAGGCUUGGAUGUGGGGGUUGCAGGUCCACUACCGUGGUCUGCUCCUCUGAAAUGUAUUAGUGGGUUAGGCCCCUAAUCUAUUGGUGUGAUAAUUAUCUACGCCGUGGAUUGGAAGGCUAAUAUAGACCUGCUUCUAACCGUCCUUCACUGGACAACUUUUGACAAUUUUGACCUCAAAUCAGGUAAGACUACCCGCUGAACUUAA
Molecule: unclassified non-coding RNA, 299 nt
Filed under: uncultured fungus
Lineage: Eukaryota; Fungi
Description: partial contains 5.8S ribosomal RNA, internal transcribed spacer 2, and large subunit ribosomal RNA
Rfam family: 5.8S ribosomal RNA (bases 1-52)
Source: RNAcentral